Molecule: transfer RNA, 76 nt
Filed under: Vulcanisaeta sp. CIS_19
Lineage: Archaea; Thermoproteati; Thermoproteota; Thermoprotei; Thermoproteales; Thermoproteaceae
Description: tRNA-Asp
Rfam family: tRNA
About the family: Transfer RNA (tRNA) molecules are approximately 80 nucleotides in length. Their secondary structure includes four short double-helical elements and three loops (D, anti-codon, and T loops).
Source: RNAcentral
GCCCCGGUAGUAUAGCCCGGUUCAGUAUGCGGGCCUGUCGAGCCCGUGACCCGGGGUUCAAAUCCCGGCCGGGGCG